GGAAGUAAAAAUCGUAACAAGGUCUCCGUUGGUGAACCAGCGGAGGGAUCAUUACAGGACUCGCAAGACUCCUACAACCCUGUGAACUUAACUAUAAGCACGUUGCUUCGGCGGGUGUCUCGGAGGGGGUUCUCCCUCCCCGAGACGCUAAACCCGCCGGCAGCCUACUAUACUCUGUCUCUUUGCGUUGGCAUCUCGAGUACAAUCAAACAAGUUAAAACUUUCAACAACGGAUCUCUUGGUUCUG
Molecule: unclassified non-coding RNA, 247 nt
Filed under: plant metagenome
Description: partial contains small subunit ribosomal RNA, internal transcribed spacer 1, and 5.8S ribosomal RNA
Rfam family: Eukaryotic small subunit ribosomal RNA (bases 1-54)
Source: RNAcentral